This 177-nucleotide small RNA is filed under the name Marmota monax (woodchuck). Lineage: Eukaryota; Metazoa; Chordata; Mammalia; Rodentia; Sciuridae. The record is from RNAcentral.
CUCUAAUAUAGAGCUACAGCCAAUCUGCUAAUGGUGUGUUUCCAACACUAUCUGAUCGUAAGAUUUACUUAUGAUGCUUUAAAAAUUCAGACUCAUAUUCCUGUGUCUUGGAGAGAUGUGUGUGUGUGUGUGUGUGUGUGUGUGUGUGUGAGAGAGAGAGAGAGAGAGAGAGAGAGA